CUCGAAAGCAUCGCGCCYGGCAUCAUGUAUCUUAUGCGGCUCGAAGGACCCUUACAAAACC
Molecule: ribosomal RNA, 61 nt
Filed under: Ptilotus exaltatus var. villosus
Lineage: Eukaryota; Viridiplantae; Streptophyta; Magnoliopsida; Caryophyllales; Amaranthaceae
Description: partial 26S ribosomal RNA
Source: RNAcentral